CCUACGGGGGGCUGCAGUGGGGAAUAUUGGACAAUGGGGGGAACCCUGAUCCAGCCAUGCCGCGUGUGUGAAGAAGGCCCUCGGGUUGUAAAGCACUUUCAGUGAGGAAGAACGCCUGGUGGUUAAUACCCAUCAGGAAAGACAUCACUCACAGAAGAAGCACCGGCUAACUCCGUGCCAGCAGCCGCGGUAAUACGGAGGGUGCGAGCGUUAAUCGGAAUUACUGGGCGUAAAGCGCGCGUAGGUGGCUUGAUAAGCCGGUUGUGAAAGCCCCGGGCUCAACCUGGGAACGGCAUCCGGAACUGUCAAGCUAGAGUGCAGGAGAGGAAGGUAGAAUUCCCGGUGUAGCGGUGAAAUGCGUAGAGAUCGGGAGGAAUACCAGUGGCGAAGGCGGCCUUCUGGACUGACACUGCCACUGAGGUGCGAAAGCGUGGGUAGCAAACAGGAUUAGAUACCCUAGUAGUC
RNAcentral lists this ribosomal RNA (465 nucleotides) under Vreelandella stevensii. RNAcentral's name for it is "partial 16S ribosomal RNA". It matches the Rfam family "Bacterial small subunit ribosomal RNA", at positions 338 to 795 of the family's 1533-position model. The record is from RNAcentral. Lineage: Bacteria; Pseudomonadati; Pseudomonadota; Gammaproteobacteria; Oceanospirillales; Halomonadaceae.